GUACUCACUGUGGCGGCACUUAUACUAAAAUUGGAAUGGUACAGAGAAGAUCAGCAUGGCCCUUGCACAAGGAUGACAGGCAAA
Molecule: small nuclear RNA, 84 nt
Organism: Cricetulus griseus (Chinese hamster)
Lineage: Eukaryota; Metazoa; Chordata; Mammalia; Rodentia; Cricetidae
Source: Ensembl